Molecule: ribosomal RNA, 402 nt
Filed under: uncultured bacterium
Lineage: Bacteria
Description: bacterial SSU rRNA
Rfam family: Bacterial small subunit ribosomal RNA
Source: RNAcentral
UCGGGAAUUUUGGGCAAUGGGCGAAAGCCUGACCCAGCAACGCCGCGUGAGGGAUGAAGUAUUUCGGUAUGUAAACCUCGAAAGAAUGGGAAGAAUAAAUGACGGUACCAUUUAUAAGCUCCGGCUAACUACGUGCCAGCAGCCGCGGUAAUACGUAGGGAGCAAGCGUUGUUCGGAUUUAUUGGGCGUAAAGGGCGCGUAGGCGGCGCGGUAAGUCACUUGUGAAAUCUCUGAGCUUAACUCAGAACGGCCAAGUGAUACUGCUGUGCUAGAGUGCGGAAGAGGCUACCGGAAUUCUCGGUGUAGCGGUGAAAUGCGUAGAUAUCAAGAGGAACACCUGAGGCGAAGGCGGGUUGCUGGGCCGACACUGACGCUGAUGCGCGAAAGCCAGGGGAGCAAACG